Molecule: ribosomal RNA, 497 nt
Filed under: uncultured bacterium
Lineage: Bacteria
Description: partial 16S ribosomal RNA
Rfam family: Bacterial small subunit ribosomal RNA
Source: RNAcentral
GAUGAACGCUGGCGGCGUGCCUAAUACAUGCAAGUCGAGCGAACAGACGAGGAGCUUGCUCCUCUGACGUUAGCGGCUGACGGGUGAGUAACACGUGGAUAACCUACCUAUAAUACUGGGAUAACUUCGGGAAACCGGAGCUAAUACCGGAUAAUAUAUUGAACCGCAUGGUUCAAUAGUGAAAGACGGUUUUGCUGUCACUUAUAGAUGGAUCCGCGCCGCAUUAGCUAGUUGGUAAGGUAACGGCUUACCAAGGCAACGAUGCGUAGCCGACCUGAGAGGGUGAUCGGCCACACUGGAACUGAGACACGGUCCAGACUCCUACGGGAGGCAGCAGUAGGGAAUCUUCCGCAAUGGGCGAAAGCCUGACGGAGCAACGCCGCGUGAGUGAUGAAGGUCUUCGGAUCGUAAAACUCUGUUGUUAGGGAAGAACAAAUGUGUAAGUAACUAUGCACGUCUUGACGGUACCUAAUCAGAAAGCCACGGCUAACUACGUG